GAUCAGUGGUUUCCUGAGGCAGCUCGAGCUAUGGCACUUCAAGGUGCAGAAGUACUGUUCUAUCCUACUGCAAUUGGUUCUGAACCUCAAGAUGAUGGACUUGAUUCUCGUGAUCACUGGAGGAGGGUGAUGCAAGGACAUGCUGGAGCUAAUGUGGUACGUUUUAUUUUUCAUUUUUAACUUUUUUUUCGUUAAGAAUGAUAAGUAAAAGGGAUGUUUAUGUUGGCAUGAUCAGGAUAGCCUAGUUGCAAGGAUCCUCCACCUUCAAUCAUAAGAUUUUGGGGGUUUGAGUCACCAAGGGAGCAAAAGUGGGAAAAGGGUCACUAUUCGACUCCUGGGCAAUGGGUUAGGAUGGUGGGGUUUUAGCAUAACCUAAAAAAAAACAAGGAAAGUUGUGUCCCAAGCUAGAAUUUGGUCCAGCUAAAAUGUUAAUUAUGCAUCUUGAUCCUAGUUUAUUAAUUUUAUUAUACACCGAGCUGCUUUAGCUUAUUCUUUUCUUUUAAUCAUUCUUUUGCUCGGCUGAGCAACAUACCUGUGUUACAAUUGGGUAAAAAUGUCUGUAAGGGACAAGAAUUGAAGAGAUGUACAACAAAAAGUUUAUGCAAGAAAAAGGAAACACGGAGUCAUGCCCCUCUUAUAUAUUUGCUGGACAGAUUGGAAUAGCCAUCAAAAGUGCUUUUCCUCUCUUAACCAACCCCUUCUAUCGUAGCUCCUAUUUGAGCUUAAAACUGGACUAUUUCAGUAGUUCCCUGUGUGUUUUCUUGGUGUGGGUUUCUUCCUCAACUCUAGAGCUGACAUUAUAUGUACCUCAAUCUGGAUUCAUAUUCUAUUUGAUCUUACAAGAUACACACACACACACACACACACUCUGCUAAUCAAUUCUUCACGACAAGCAUAGCAUUUACUGUACGCUAUGUAUGCCAUUUUCCUAUGCAUUCUCUGUGUAGAAAAGGAAACUAACAAUUAUUUGCAACUUUUAGCAAAAGAAGAAUUUUGAUUUCUGUGGUUUUAAUACACCAAAAUAAAACCAAACUCGAAUUGUUGGUUCUCAACUCAUUUUACAAGACCAAAGCCAAGAAAAUGACUUUUAAAUUGUUGGUUUGGUUUGAAUCAAUUUGGUUCAGUCUUUUUUCUAGAAACACUUUGUCCACUUUAAUUUUUAUCGUGUUCAGGUACCUUUAGUAGCUUCAAACCGCAUUGGAAAGGAGACAAUUGAGACAGAGCAUGGGAAAAGCACGAUAACAUUCUACGGCUACUCUUUCAUUGCAGGUAAGCUAUUUGACAAAACUUUGUAGCUACAGAACUUGAAAAACAUCUAUCGCCUUAUGUUGCUAAGGGGCUCUGAAUCUGGUUUAAAAAUGAACAGGGCCCACUGGGGAGUUGGUAGCAGCUGCUGAUGAUAAAGAGGAAGCUGUUCUUAUAGCGCAGUUCGAUCUGGACAAAAUCAAGUCCAAAAGGCAGAGUUGGGGGGUAUUUCGUGAUCGACGCCCUGAUUUAUAUAAGGUUCUUUUGACAUUAGAUGGAAGCAACCCAGUCAAGUGAUUCAAGAUGGACCAAGUAUCGCCUAUUCUCCUGCCCUUUUUUUUGUCAAUCUUAUCAAUAAAAGAGUGAGGACUAAAAUAUAAUCUUGUACUCGAGUUCUGUUGUCAUGUAACUCGUUAUAUGGUGUGAUCUGUCACAUGCUACACUUUCUGCAAUGAAUGGCAGAGUUCGGGAGUUUGAAUCCCUUAAUGUGUAAUCAGUAGCAUCUAUGUGCAACUUUGAUGGUUUUUGUCACAUCCAAGUAGUGAACACAUUCAUCAUUGGGACCUUGAUUUGUAUUUGUUUACACUGGUGGAUGGCUGUUCUGGAAGAUCCCAUUUCCGAAAAAACCAUUUCCAGACAUAAACACUUGGAAUGUCAUUUNNNNNNNNNNNNNNNNNNNNNNNNNAAUCCAAGUCCCAAAAAAGGGCCAGAGUUGGGGGGGGUAUUUUUCCGUGAUCCGACCGCCCUGAUUUAUAUAAGGUUCUUUUGACAUUAGAUGGAAGCAACCCAGUCAAGUGAUUCAAGAUGGACCAAGUAUCGCCUAUUCUCCUGCCCUUUUUUUUUGUCAAUCUUAUCAAUAAAAGAGUGAGGACUAAAAUAUAAUCUUGUACUCGAGUUCUGUUGUCAUGUAACUCGUUAUAUGGUGUGAUCUGUCACAUGCUACACUUUCUGCAAUGAAUGGCAGAGUUCGGGAGUUUGAAUCCCUUAAUGUGUAAUCAGUAGCAUCUAUGUGCAACUUUGAUGGUUUUUGUCACAUCCAAGUAGUGAACACAUUCAUCAUUGGGACCUUGAUUUGUAUUUGUUUACACUGGUGGAUGGCUGUUCUGGAAGAUCCCAUUUCCGAAAACCAUUUCCAGACAUAAACACUUGGAAUGUCAAUUUCUCAAUAUAUCUCUGAAAGCAUUGGAGCUAUAUCUGGUGGUGCACAAUAUCUUUCAUCCUAUCAUUUUUGAUUUUUAGAUAGAGAUUGCAUUUUCGGGUCCCUCUAUAUUCUUUUUUGAUCCAUUUAGAUAGAAAAUUGAACAUAUUCUUUGCCUUAUGUUUAGUUGUUUUUUUCAUGUGUGCCUAUUUAGUUUGGAAUUAUUUCUUGUGGAAUGAAUGAUCCAAUUGCUACAGCCACUUGGAAACACCAAGGCCGCAGAUUUAUUCUGCUUAGUAAAAAAAUCUAUGUUUUGAUGAAUGAAUAUUUCUGUGUAGAAGAUUGUUGUUUCUAAUUUUCAGGGAACUUAAGAUACUUGCUAUGCCAU
RNAcentral lists this long non-coding RNA (2771 nucleotides) under Nicotiana tabacum (common tobacco). RNAcentral's name for it is "long non-coding RNA (NTAB_LNC008009)". The record is from RNAcentral. Lineage: Eukaryota; Viridiplantae; Streptophyta; Magnoliopsida; Solanales; Solanaceae.